RNAcentral lists this ribosomal RNA (414 nucleotides) under Pulvinomyzostomum messingi. Its description in RNAcentral is "partial 16S ribosomal RNA". It matches the Rfam family "Bacterial large subunit ribosomal RNA", at positions 1858 to 2578 of the family's 2925-position model. Lineage: Eukaryota; Metazoa; Annelida; Myzostomida; Pulvinomyzostomidae. The record is from RNAcentral.
UGUGCUCAAUGUAUUAUAAAUAGCUGCAGAUUCUGUACUAAGGUAGCGUAAUAAUUUGCCUUUUAAUUGAAGGAUAGUAUGAAUGAGAAACCAAGGGAAAUGCUGUCUCUAUAUAAUAAAUAAAAAUUAAUCUAUAAGUGAAAAAGCUUAUAUUUUAUAAAAAGACAAGAAGACCCUGUUGAGCUUUUACUAAAAAUUAAUUUUAGGUUUUGUUGGGGCAACAUAAAUUUUAUUAAACAAUUUUAUUUAAUUAGAAUAAAAUCUCUAUAAAUAUACUAUUUAAUAUAAAAAUAACAAAGUUACCACAGGGAUAACAGGCUUAUUUUCUUUUAGAGUUCUAAUCGACAAGAAAGUUUGGCACCUCGAUGUUGGCUUAUAGUUUCUUUUAAAAGUAGCAUUUUAAAAAGUUGGUUU